Molecule: unclassified non-coding RNA, 148 nt
Organism: Macaca fascicularis (crab-eating macaque)
Lineage: Eukaryota; Metazoa; Chordata; Mammalia; Primates; Cercopithecidae
Rfam family: Metazoan signal recognition particle RNA
About the family: The signal recognition particle (SRP) is a universally conserved ribonucleoprotein. It is involved in the co-translational targeting of proteins to membranes.
Source: Ensembl
GCCGGGCACGGUGGCGUGUGCCUGUAAUCCCAGCUACUUGGGAAGCUGAGGCAGGAGAAUUGCUUGAAUCCGGGAGGUGGAGGAUGCAGUGAAUCGAGAUCAUGCCACUGCAUUCCAGCCUGGAUGAUGGAGUGAGAACCUGUCUUUA